AUUGAACGCUGGCGGCAUGCCUUACACAUGCAAGUCGAACGGUGACGGGCCUUCGGGUGCCGACGAGUGGCGCACGGGUGAGUAAUACAUCGGAACGUGCCCGAUCGUGGGGGAUAACGAGGCGAAAGCUUUGCUAAUACCGCAUACGAUCUACGGAUGAAAGCAGGGGACCGCAAGGCCUUGCGCGGACGGAGCGGCCGAUGGCAGAUUAGGUAGUUGGUGGGAUAAAAGCUUACCAAGCCGACGAUCUGUAGCUGGUCUGAGAGGAUGAUCAGCCACACUGGGACUGAGACACGGCCCAGACUCCUACGGGAGGCAGCAGUGGGGAAUUUUGGACAAUGGGCGCAAGCCUGAUCCAGCCAUGCCGCGUGCAGGAUGAAGGCCUUCGGGUUGUAAACUGCUUUUGUACGGAACGAAAAGCCUUCUUUUAAUACAGGAGGGUCAUGACGGUACCGUAAGAAUAAGCACCGGCUAACUACGUG
This 482-nucleotide ribosomal RNA is filed under the name uncultured bacterium. RNAcentral describes it as "partial 16S ribosomal RNA". It matches the Rfam family "Bacterial small subunit ribosomal RNA", at positions 30 to 507 of the family's 1533-position model. The record is from RNAcentral.